Molecule: long non-coding RNA, 448 nt
Filed under: Homo sapiens (human)
Lineage: Eukaryota; Metazoa; Chordata; Mammalia; Primates; Hominidae
Description: non-protein coding lnc-NRG4-4:1
Source: RNAcentral
UUACAUAUUAUGAAAGCCACUUUAAUUAUUAUUUAGAUGACCCCAGAUGUAUGAGUGCCAUUAUUGUUGUAUAGCUAUGAAACAGAUCAUCAUCUUUUACCUCAUUACAUUUCCUCAAUAUAAAGUUCCCAGUGACUAUCCGAUCACAUCCAAUUUCUCCAUUUCCAAAGAAGCCGAAUAAGGGAACACUAGGAAAAAACUUUCUAAAUGCAUCAGCCUCAACAUUCCCCUUGGCUCUGUAAUACUGAAAGCCCCUGCCAACGCAUGCAAACAUGAAGCCAAUGGUGUUAUGCUCUGGAAUGUUGGCCGCUUUGAGGCGCUGCAUCGCAGCCUCAGCAGUCUUCUCAUCACUGACGUCCUCGUUGAGGAGCACAGUGGCACUCUGGAUUCGGUGUCCACUAAAUGACAGUCCAACCACACCCGAGGCAUCAAUAUCCAGAGGGUUCCU